RNAcentral lists this non-coding RNA (30 nucleotides) under Homo sapiens (human). The record is from RNAcentral. Lineage: Eukaryota; Metazoa; Chordata; Mammalia; Primates; Hominidae.
UGGCAAUGUGGCUCAGGUCCCUGCAGUAGC